Molecule: ribosomal RNA, 489 nt
Filed under: uncultured bacterium
Lineage: Bacteria
Description: partial 16S ribosomal RNA
Rfam family: Bacterial small subunit ribosomal RNA
Source: RNAcentral
GACGAACGCUGGCGGCGUGCUUAACACAUGCAAGUCGAACGGUGAAGGGAUCAGCUUGCUGGUUCUGGAUGAGUGGCGAACGGGUGAGUAACACGUGAGUAACCUGCCCCCUUCUUCUGGAUAACCGCAUGAAAGUGUGGCUAAUACGGGAUAUUCUGCGCCUGCUGCAUGGUGGGUGUGGGAAAGAUAUUGUUUCGGUGGGGGAUGGGCUCGCGGCCUAUCAGCUUGUUGGUGGGGUGAUGGCCUACCAAGGCGGUGACGGGUAGCCGGCCUGAGAGGGGGGACGGUUACACUGGGACUGAGACACGGCCCAGACUCCUACGGGAGGCAGCAGUGGGGAAUAUUGCACAAGGGGCGCAAGCCUGAUGCAGCGACGCCGCGUGAGGGAUGGAGGCCUUCGGGUUGUGAACCUCUUUCGCCAGUGAAGCAGGCCUGUCCCUUGUGGGUGGGUUGACGGUAGCUGGAUAAGAAGCGCCGGCUAACUACGUG